AGAACGAACGCUGGCGGCAGGCUUAACACAUGCAAGUCGAACGCCCCGCAAGGGGAGUGGCAGACGGGUGAGUAACACGUGGGAACCUUCCCUAUAGUACGGAAUAGCCCAGGGAAACUUGGAGUAAUACCGUAUACGCCCGAAAGGGAAGAAUUUCGCUAUAGGAUGGGCCCGCGUAGGAUUAGCUAGUUGGUGAGGUAAUGGCUCACCAAGGCGACGAUCCUUAGCUGGUUUGAGAGAACGACCAGCCACACUGGGACUGAGACACGGCCCAGACUCCUACGGGAGGCAGCAGUGGGGAAUAUUGGACAAUGGGCGCAAGCCUGAUCCAGCCAUGCCGCGUGAGUGAUGAAGGCCUUAGGGUUGUAAAGCUCUUUUGCCGGGGACGAUAAUGACGGUACCCGGAGAAUAAGUCCCGGCUAACUUCGUGCCAGCAGCCGC
RNAcentral lists this ribosomal RNA (441 nucleotides) under uncultured bacterium. RNAcentral's name for it is "SSU rRNA". It matches the Rfam family "Bacterial small subunit ribosomal RNA", at positions 26 to 518 of the family's 1533-position model. The record is from RNAcentral.